This is a long non-coding RNA of Triticum dicoccoides, 1237 nucleotides long. RefSeq lists it as uncharacterized. The record is from RefSeq and is a predicted model, not a curated record. NCBI's taxonomy places the organism in Eukaryota, Viridiplantae, Streptophyta, Magnoliopsida, Poales, Poaceae. The transcript is spliced from 5 exons.
UCACGUGCGAAAGAAUUGCCCAACCUGCUCGCCCCACGCGCCGCGCACACACCACGCACUGCACGAACCCUAGCCUCCAAUCCUCUGCCGGCACACCCCCACUCCUCCCUCGCUCCACUGCAGCCGCCGCACCUCUCUCUCCUCCGUUCGCUCUUCUCCCUCAUUCACCACAGCCACAGCCCCAGGAGCUCCGUUGUCCCUGUCGAGGAGAUCCAUGGCCUCCCGACGUGCUCAUCUGCUCAGGUCGCGAGGAAGCCGGGGGAGGAGGAGACCUCGUCGCGAGGGAGCUGCGGGAGGAGGAGCUCAACCCAAGAGGAGAGGAUGCCAGCCAGGGAGUCGUCUUGGCUCGACGUGGUCCUUCGCGUCUUGAACCUAGCACCGUAGGCGGCUCGUUUAGUGGCGCAGCGGACGGCGGCCUCAGCGGGUGGGUGACGGUAGCCGCAGCUGGUGCAUGACCUCGCAUCCUGGGUGCGUGCUCGAUUAGCUCGCGUCUUCAUGGUCUUCAGGUGCGCAGCUCCCAGGAUUUAAUAAGCUGCCUUGGGCUUCAUUGGACAAAUGAUCUACCUGGAGCAAUGAUACAUGCAAGUAUUUUAUUUUAAACACUAGAAGCAUUAAGUUAUCAGAUGUUUGAGGUUUGGCUUUAAAAAUAAGCUAUUUCUAACGGAAGGUCAAUGGGAGAAAAAGGCAGUGUAUACAUUUUAUUUGGUGCUUAUCUGUGACCUUGCGCACUUAUCUUUAUAUAUGCUCUUCUUCAUAGAUAUCUUCCUGUCGGUUCUCUUAUGAAGAUCUUUCCCUAUAUCUGAUUUUAUACCAUAUCAGGAACCAUGGUGUCCCACUACACUUGAUCCGUGAGCUGUAUGAGACCUUGCGCAACUUCAAAAUUCAUGUUUCAGAUUAUGUGCACCGCAGAGAUGAGCUUAAUGUGAGUGAUGUUACAUGUAUUAUCUGUCGUGAAGAGAUGACAACAGCAAAGAAGCUGCUUUGUGGGCACUUGUUCCAUGUGCAUUGUCUGAGGUCAUGGCGAGAGCGCCAACAUACUUGCCCCACAUGUAGAUCUCCCAUUGCCCCCCGGACAAUGGACGUGAUCCAUCAGUGCGACAACAUGAAGCUCAACUAGGAGUUAGCUUGCUGCAGGCAUUGGUGCUCCAGGUUCAGAAGGAGUAACAAGCAAGAACGUGAACAGGCGCCCCACAAAACUUGAGGCCUACUUGAACAGGCGCCCAACAAAACAGGCAAU